Non-coding RNA from Acanthosepion pharaonis, 88 nucleotides. The record is from the annotation of a GenBank genome assembly. NCBI's taxonomy places the organism in Eukaryota, Metazoa, Mollusca, Cephalopoda, Sepiida, Sepiidae.
CGUUGAUACACCGGUUCCUGUCUUAUCACCGAAGUUAAGCAACGUCGAGCCUGGUCUGUACUUAGGUGACCGCUUGGGAAUGCUAGGU